Molecule: transfer RNA, 63 nt
Filed under: Acanthogyrus cheni
Lineage: Eukaryota; Metazoa; Acanthocephala; Eoacanthocephala; Gyracanthocephala; Quadrigyridae
Description: tRNA-Ala
Source: RNAcentral
GAUUGUUUAGGUUAAUUAAACUUUGAGAUUUGCUGUUUCAAGAUUGUCAAUCAAUAGUAAUUG